RNAcentral lists this ribosomal RNA (292 nucleotides) under uncultured bacterium. RNAcentral describes it as "partial 16S ribosomal RNA". It matches the Rfam family "Bacterial small subunit ribosomal RNA", at positions 505 to 796 of the family's 1533-position model. The record is from RNAcentral.
GUGUCAGCCGCCGCGGUAAAACGUAGGUACCGAGCGUUAUCCGGAUUUACUGGGCGUAAAGCGUGUUCAGGCGGUCUGUCAAGUCGGGCAUGAAAGCUCUCGGCUCAACCGGGAGAGGCUGUCCGAUACUGGCAGACUUGAGGGCAGUAGAGGGUGGUGGAAUUCCGGGUGUAGUGGUGAAAUGCGUAGAUAUCCGGAGGAACACCAGUGGCGAAAGCGGCCACCUGGACUGCACCUGACGCUCAAACACGAAAGCUAGGGGAGCGAACGGGAUUAGAUACCCCGGUAGUCC